Molecule: small nucleolar RNA, 105 nt
Filed under: Olea europaea subsp. europaea
Lineage: Eukaryota; Viridiplantae; Streptophyta; Magnoliopsida; Lamiales; Oleaceae
Description: Plant small nucleolar RNA R71
Rfam family: Plant small nucleolar RNA R71
About the family: R71 is a member of the C/D box family of snoRNAs containing the C (UGAUGA) and D (CUGA) box motifs. Multiple nearly identical copies of this snoRNA have been identified in Arabidopsis, and it is thought to function as a 2'-O-ribose methylation guide for 18S ribosomal RNA.
Source: Rfam by way of RNAcentral
AAUCCGUAGUGUGGGCACUAAUGGAGUAUAUUCUUGUAUCGCUCCCAAGCUUCAAAAACAUUCAACUUCCAACUGUUGGAAUGUGAUAAUCUCAUCCCUCAGUUU